GUAGGGAAUCUUGCGCAAUGGGCGAAAGCCUGACGCAGCCAUGCCGCGUGAAUGAUGAAGGUCUUAGGAUUGUAAAAUUCUUUCACCGGGGACGAUAAUGACGGUACCCGGAGAAGAAGCCCCGGCUAACUUCGUGCCAGCAGCCGCGGUAAUACGAAGGGGGCUAGCGUUGCUCGGAAUUACUGGGCGUAAAGGGCGCGUAGGCGGACAGCUUAGUCAGAGGUGAAAGCCCAGGGCUCAACCUUGGAAUUGCCUUUGAUACUGGCUGUCUUGAGUUUGGGAGAGGUGAGUGGAACUCCGAGUGUAGAGGUGAAAUUCGUAGAUAUUCGGAAGAACACCAGUGGCGAAGGCGACUCACUGGCCCAAUACUGACGCUGAGGCGCGAAAGCGUGGGGAGCAAACAGGAUUAGAAACCCCAGUAGUCC
This 425-nucleotide ribosomal RNA is filed under the name uncultured bacterium. RNAcentral's name for it is "partial 16S ribosomal RNA". It matches the Rfam family "Bacterial small subunit ribosomal RNA", at positions 354 to 796 of the family's 1533-position model. The record is from RNAcentral.